UGUUGUUGCUGUAGCACCAUCACACCUGCUUGUUGUUAUAUACAAGCCACUCUGCAUGAACACAAAAGGUCAGUGAUUUUUUCCCUUUUAACUUUCUUUGGCUUUGUUUAUUUUUCAUACUAUUUUUUUUACCUCAAAUGAGUAAUCAAAUCGAGGAUCAAAAUCAUCUUGUGCUGUUAGAAGAUGCGUAAGGGAACCAACAUGAGCCUUCAUGAUCAACAAGAGAAAUAUGUAUAGAAGUCAACCUCUUAUCCACACAGGCCAUGCUCUUCAGCAAUACCUGCAAGUGCAUUUUUUCAAUCAUUUACUGAGGAAUGGAUCUGGAAGCCAGAAGCAACAAAAAACAAGUGGAUCUUAAGGGAGAACAUUUUUUACCUCCAUCCCUGCAGCGUGAGGGUUCAUGUUGUUGUCUUGUGCCCAGAUACGCUCCAUCCUUUGCCUUCUUUUGCUUUUAGGGAAGGGAUCCUCGUCCUCCAUGUCCCACACGUGAGUUUUGGAAGAAAGAGUUUGGGGAUGGGAGGAGGGGCGGUGACGAACAGAUCUGUUCUCUCUUUCUUGUUUUUUCUUUUUUUUCCUCCUAUUUUCUGUUUGUUUUAUGUAGGAUAACGAUCUGACUUGAGACUUAUAUGGACAGUCAUGGGGGGAACAGGCACAGAAGCCCUUUUUUUUUGGGCGGGCUUUCAUGAAAAUAUUUCCCGCCACC
Panicum virgatum (switchgrass) is the source of this 703-nucleotide long non-coding RNA. RefSeq lists it as uncharacterized. The record is from RefSeq and is a predicted model, not a curated record. The transcript is spliced from 3 exons. Lineage: Eukaryota; Viridiplantae; Streptophyta; Magnoliopsida; Poales; Poaceae.